Molecule: long non-coding RNA, 3028 nt
Organism: Haliotis rufescens (red abalone)
Lineage: Eukaryota; Metazoa; Mollusca; Gastropoda; Lepetellida; Haliotidae
Exons: 2
Source: RefSeq, a predicted model, not a curated record
GUUCUUUUUGUAAUAUUUCAAGAUUUAUUGCUGGUGCGUUUUCAAUGAUGUUCAGUAUAUUUACUUGAACUGGGUUGAUGUUUCUCCUGAUGGAAGUUACCAAUUAUGGUUACCAAUUACAUAGAAAUGUUUGGACCGAGACGCCGAGACGUUAAAACCGCAACACGAACAUAUUGUUUCUUUACUUAUAAGAAGCAGAAUAUCCACACUUGUGCACUAUGAACAUAUCGUUUAUUGCUUCAACUCCAUAAAUAUUUUGUGAGGUAUUUAAAGCGCACAUACAGCCGACUUUGUUUUUGGCUCUCGGGUUUUAAACGUUUCGUUUGUACAGAAAAAUCCAGUUAUUAGCAUGUAAAUGUAAGAAGUGUACGAAUGAGGGGUGAAAGUCUAUGAAAUUGAGUCAGGGGUGAUGGUGUGUGUAGGUGUGUGAAGAUGUACGGGUGAGUGGUGGUGUUGUGAAAGGUUUAAGAAGAUGUAGGAAUGAGAGGUGAUGUGUGAAAAGGUGUAUGAAGGUGUACGAAUGAGGGGUGGGAGAGUAUGAAGAUGUACGAAUAAGGAGUGAGAGAGUAUGAAGGUGUAAGAAUGACGGGUGGGAUAGUAUGAAGGUGUACGAAUGAGGGGUGGGAGAGUAUGAAUUUGUACGAAUGAGGGAUGGGACAGUAUGAAGGUGUACGAAUGAGGGGUGAGAGAGUAUGAAGGUGUACGAAUCAGGGGUGAUAGAGUAUGAAGGUGUACGCAUGAGGGUGUGAGAGAGUAUGAAAGUGUACGAAUGAGGGGUGAGAGAGUAUGAAGUGUACAUGUGUACGUAAUAGGAGUGAGAGAGUAUGAAGGUGUACGAAUGAGGGGUGAGAGGGUAUGAAGGUGUACGAAUGAGGAGUGAAAGAGUAUGAAGGUGUCGGGAUGAGGAGUGAGAGAGUAUGAAGGUGUACGAAUGAGGGGUGAGAGAGUAUGAAGGUGUACGAAUGAGGGUUGAGAGAGUAUGAAGGUGUACGCAUCAGGGUGUGAGAGAGUAUGAAGGUGUACGAAUGAGGGGUGAGAGAGUAUGAAGUGUACGUAUGAAGAGUGAGAGAGUAUGAAGGUGUACGAAUGAGGGGUGAGAGGGUAUGAAGGUGUACGAAUGAGGAGAGAAAGAGUAUGAAGGUGUAAAAAUGAGGGGUGAGAGAGUAUGAAGGUGUACGAAUGAGGGGUGAGAGAGUAUGAAGGUGUACGAAUGAGGGGUGAGAGAGUAUGAAGGUGUACGAAUGAGGGGUGAGAGAGUAUGAAGGUGUACGAAUGAGGGUAGAGAGUAUGAAGGUGUUCGAAUGAGGGGUGAGAGAGUAUGAAGGUGUACGAAUGAGGGGUGAGAGGGUAUGAAGGUGUACGAAUGAGGUGUGAGAGAGUAUGAAGGUGUACGAAUGAGGGAUGGGACAGUAUGAAGGUGUACGAAUGAGGGGUGAGAGAGUAUGAAGGUGUACGAAUGAGGAGUGAAAGAGUAUGAACGUGUAAAAAUGAGGGGUGAGAGAGUAUGAAGGUGUACGAAUGAGGGGUGAAAGGGUAUGAAGGUGUACGAAUGAGGGGUGAGAGAGUAUGAAGGUGUACGAAUGAGGAGUGAAAGAGUAUGAAGGUGUAAAAAUGAUGGGUGAGAGAGUAUGAAGGUGUACGAAUGAGGGGUGAGAGAGUAUGAAGGUGUACGAAUGAGGUGUGAGAGAGUAUGAAGUGUACGUAUGAGGAUAGAGAGAGUAUGAAGGUGUAAGAAUGAGGUGUGAGAGAGUAUGAAGGUGUACAAAUGAGGGUGUGAGAGAGUAUGAAGGUGUACGAAUGAGGGGUGAAAGAGUAUGAAGGUGUCGGGAUGAGGAGUGAGAGAGUAUGAAGGUGUACGAAUAAGGGGUGGGAGAGUAUGAAGGUGUACGAAUGAGGAGUGAGAGAGUAUGAAGGUGUACGAAUGAGGGUUGAGAGAGUAUGAACGUGUUAUGUGAAAGAAUGUAUGAAGGUGUACGACAGCCCGGGCGGGGGUAAUGGCGUGUGUAUGUGUAUGAAGGUGUACGAAUGAGGAGUGAAAGAGUAUGAACGUGUAAAAAUGAGGGGUGAGAGUGUAUUAAGGUGUACGAAUGAGGGGUGAGAGGGUAUGAAGGUGUACGAAUGAGGGGUGAGAGAGUAUGAAGGUGUACGAAUGAGGAGUGAAAGAGUAUGAAGGUGUAAAAAUGAUGGGUGAGAGAGUAUGAAGGUGUACGAAUGAGGGGUGAGAGAGUAUGAAGGUGUACGAAUGAGGUGUGAGAGAGUAUGAAGUGUACGUAUGAGGAUAGAGAGAGUAUGAAGGUGUAAGAAUGAGGUGUGAGAGAGUAUGAAGGUGUACAAAUGAGGGUGUGAGAGAGUAUGAAGGUGUACGAAUGAGGGGUGAAAGAGUAUGAAGGUGUACGAAUGAGGAGUGAGAGAGUAUGAAGGUGUACGAAUGAGGAGUGAGAGAGUAUGAACGUGUUAUGUGAAAGAAUGUAUGAAGAUGUACGACAGCCCGGGAGGGGUAAUGGCGUGUGUAUGUGUAUGAAGCUGUACGAAUGAGGGAUGUGUGAAAAAGUGUAUGAGAGUGUACUAGGGUGGUGUGUAUGAAGGUAAGUGACACACACCAGAAUGCCCAUAUCAAAGACAAACAUCGGGCAGAAUACAAAUGUAGACUUAUGAAAAUCUGCCAUUAACAACUUGGCUCUUCAUUGUCUGCAUUGUCUAGAUGAAGUCCAUGUAUCAAGUGAACAGAGUGUGAUAGUUGUUCCCAGUUUGACUGGGAUCAGCUCACCCAAACACGCCUACACCUGAAUAAAUGGGACAUGCCACUUGAUUGCCCGAAUUUCACUCACUGUGCAGCUGUUGGCAGAGUAUCUAACACAACAUUCAGCCGAAAUAUUGUCGUCGAAUGAAGGCGUUCACAGCAAUUCAGAGUUUGUCUUGACAUUUUUCGGAAGUAAAUACAUGUUUAUUAUUCAUAUUCAUUAUUCAUAUUCAUGCUUUAAAUUGUGUAGUUAUUCCUUUAGUACAUGAAUAAAAGCACAUACUUACC